UGCAGCUUUGUCAAAUUCAGUGUUCCCUCUUUGGUAGGGAGCACUGGCCAAAAUGGCUGCAACAGUGAAACUGUAGGUCGUAGAGCUCAGUGUUUCCUCAUUGUGGAUUCUGAGAAUAACUGUGUCCUGCAGACAAAA
Oryzias javanicus (javanese ricefish) is the source of this 138-nucleotide small nucleolar RNA. NCBI's taxonomy places the organism in Eukaryota, Metazoa, Chordata, Actinopteri, Beloniformes, Adrianichthyidae. The record is from Ensembl.